This 490-nucleotide ribosomal RNA is filed under the name uncultured bacterium. RNAcentral describes it as "partial 16S ribosomal RNA". It matches the Rfam family "Bacterial small subunit ribosomal RNA", at positions 30 to 507 of the family's 1533-position model. The record is from RNAcentral.
AUUGAACGCUGGCGGCAGGCCUAACACAUGCAAGUCGAACGGUAACAGGAAGAAGCUUGCUUCUUUGCUGACGAGUGGCGGACGGGUGAGUAAUGUCUGGGAAACUGCCUGAUGGAGGGGGAUAACUCCUGGAAACGGUAGCUAAUACCGCAUAACGUCGCAAGACCAAAGAGGGGGACCUUCGGGCCUCUUGCCAUCGGAUGUGCCCAGAUGGGAUUAGCUCGUUGGUGGGGUAACGGCUCACCAAGGCGACGAUCCCUAGCUGGUCUGAGAGGAUGACCAGCCACACUGGAACUGAGACACGGUCCAGACUCCUACGGGAGGCAGCAGUGGGGAAUAUUGCACAAUGGGCGCAAGCCUGAUGCAGCCAUGCCGCGUGUAUGAAGAAGGCCUUCGGGUUGUAAAGUACUUUCAGCGGGGAGGAAGGGAGUAAAGUUAAUACCUUGGCUCAUUGACGUUACCCGCAGAAGAAGCACCGGCUAACUCCGUG